GGUAAAACUAAUUUAAUGGUAAAAUCCUUCAUUGUGGUUGAAGUUAUUACAGUUCGAUUCUGUGGUUUUAUC
RNAcentral lists this transfer RNA (72 nucleotides) under Apiotrichum gamsii. RNAcentral's name for it is "tRNA-His". It matches the Rfam family "tRNA". From Rfam's summary of the family: Transfer RNA (tRNA) molecules are approximately 80 nucleotides in length. Their secondary structure includes four short double-helical elements and three loops (D, anti-codon, and T loops). Lineage: Eukaryota; Fungi; Basidiomycota; Tremellomycetes; Trichosporonales; Trichosporonaceae. The record is from RNAcentral.